AAAGCAAGGAACUUUAUUUUUGGUAAAACCAGACGACUGAUUUGAAUAAGGCACAUUCUUCAACAUCCAUAAGAAACAAAUGCAAAAGCAGUCACAGCAAGGAGUGAAGGGGCACACCAAGACCCUUGACACGAACACUGGCACAGCCCCUUCUUUUUUGAUAAGUAGAGAAAAAGCAAAAUGCAGUUGUUUGAAAGUCAGCGUGCUCUUCUUUAUUUGAUGACAGGGAUGGUGAAUAGGUAUACAUUUCGUUUCAUCUGAUCAACGAGGAGCAGCUGCCUAAGCUUCGUGCUGAGGAGGCUGCGGCCCAGCGUGGGCUCCGGGAAAGGACGAUUGAGAUCGCUGCGCCUAACGUCUUGCCAACUCUACCCUGCCGUGAUGUUUCUCGGCCUGCUGCUUCCCAAUCCAAAGCUGCUUCCCAAGUCCAAAGCAUCCUUUCAUUCCGGUGAGUGCUCUUAGCCAACGGCAAAUUUAGUUUCUGAGCCCCCAAUGAAGGAAAGUGGGCGGUCAUUUCCCAGGACAGAAACCCAUCUCUGGAUUUUUACAAGCUGAAAUAGAUACUGCAGGCAGUACUGGCAGGGAAGUCACUGAA
This is a long non-coding RNA of Myotis brandtii (Brandt's bat), 592 nucleotides long. RefSeq lists it as uncharacterized. The transcript has 2 exons. NCBI's taxonomy places the organism in Eukaryota, Metazoa, Chordata, Mammalia, Chiroptera, Vespertilionidae. The record is from RefSeq and is a predicted model, not a curated record.